Molecule: ribosomal RNA, 735 nt
Filed under: uncultured Atopobium sp.
Lineage: Bacteria; Bacillati; Actinomycetota; Coriobacteriia; Coriobacteriales; Atopobiaceae
Description: bacterial SSU rRNA
Rfam family: Bacterial small subunit ribosomal RNA
Source: RNAcentral
GAUGAACGCUGGCGGCGCGCCUAACACAUGCAAGUCGAACGAUUAAAGCACCUUCGGGUGUGUAUAAAGUGGCGAACGGCUGAGUAACACGUGGGCAACCUGCCCCUCUCAUUGGGAUAGCCACGGGAAACCGUGGAUAAUACCGAAUACUUCGGGACCUCCGCAUGGAAGACUCGAGAAAGCUCCGGCGGAGAGGGAUGGGCCCGCGGCCUGUUAGCUUGUUGGUGGGGUAAUGGCCUACCAAGGCAAUGAUGGGUAGCUGGGUUGAGAGACCGACCAGCCAGAUUGGGACUGAGACACGGCCCAGACUCCUACGGGAGGCAGCAGUGGGGAAUCUUGCACAAUGGGCGAAAGCCUGAUGCAGCGACGCCGCGUGCGGGAUGAAGGCCUUCGGGUUGUAAACCGCUUUCAGCAGGGACGAGGCGAAAGUGACGGUACCUGCAGAAGAAGCCCCGGCUAACUACGUGCCAGCAGCCGCGGUAAUACGUAGGGGGCAAGCGUUAUCCGGAUUCAUUGGGCGUAAAGCGCUCGUAGGCGGUCUGUUAGGUCGGGAGUUAAAUCCGGGGGCUCAACCCCCGUUCGCUCCCGAUACCGGCAGACUUGAGUUUGGUAGGGGAAGGUGGAAUUCCUAGUGUAGCGGUGGAAUGCGCAGAUAUUAGGAAGAACACCAGUGGCGAAGGCGGCCUUCUGGGCCAUAACUGACGCUGAGGAGCGAAAGCUAGGGGAGCAAACAGG